RNAcentral lists this transfer RNA (68 nucleotides) under Lethe baileyi. RNAcentral describes it as "tRNA-His". The record is from RNAcentral. Lineage: Eukaryota; Metazoa; Arthropoda; Insecta; Lepidoptera; Nymphalidae.
AUUUAAAUAAUUUAAUAAAAAUAUUGAUUUGUGGAGUCAAAAAUAUGAGGAGUUUAUCAUUUUAAAUC